CAAGAGGUGCUCCUGGCUUGUUGUAGGCAUUGUAAGGGCUGGCUAGAUCAGUCUGGUAGCAGGGAUCGGGCUAGCGAAGGAUGCUCCUGGCUGGUUGCAGGAGCUGAGAGGGCUGGAUAGAUCGGUCUGCAAGCAGGGUCUGGGGGAGCAAGGGGUGCUCCUGGCUGGCUGCAAGGGCUAAAACAGGGUACUGAGAGAGGCCCUGUUGCUCAGACAGAGGACCGGAGUCCAGGGAGGGCUACAGAGAUGUUGCCAAUGGAGGGGUACUGUGAGGGAUCCUGUCGGACCGUGAAGGGACUGAGCCCGCGGAGUGCUACAGGACAUUACUGAGGGAUUUGAGAUAGACCUGGUUGGACAACGUAUCCCAGAAAGGGUUUGUUUGCACAUGGACUGUGGGUGACUUGGCUGAGGGCUGAAUCACCAAACACCUGUCUGACAAGCACAGUGGCCAACAGGGGGCACCGUGAGCUGAGAAAUUCAGAAAACUGCAGGCUUGCACACCCUCCACCGGGGGCGCUCACAAGAGGCUAAAGAUCAUGGAACCCUUGUGACCACUUUGUCACAGUUCCCGUGCGGUCAUGCUGAGUUGGAAACAGCCAUGCCGCCCUGGCUCAGAGGCUGAGCUGAAUGCUAGAGGAUGAGAAGGCAGUGAGGGAAGGCACCAGGUUUGCUCACAGAGGGUAACUGGGGUCAUUCCUGUGCACUGUUCACACCUUCAGGGAAGCGUGGUGUAGUGGUUACAGCAGUGGCCUGGGAAUCAGGACCCCGGGGUUUUAUCACAACCUCCACCUCGUCCAAUCCUGCUCACGUUUCAGAUUCCCUUGCGUGGUGAGUCCUCACUUCAACAAGGGGAAAGUCAUGGAGAACCUUCUCUCUGAGCCAAGUUGAAGAGCGGGGGAGAGAUCUCCUUUUGCAUUGAACAUGGGGGGACGGGGAGUGUGCUUCUCAUUGCUAUAACUUCUACCUGUGCCCCCUGCCACAUUGUGAUUCACCCUGGUGCUGGGACAUAAGGGGGAGGAGGGAAGUCUCCCUUGCACACCAUGUUUGACUGCUCUUUGAGUUAGAUCCUCCCCC
Molecule: long non-coding RNA, 1074 nt
Organism: Chelonia mydas (Green sea turtle)
Lineage: Eukaryota; Metazoa; Chordata; Testudines; Cheloniidae
Exons: 3
Source: RefSeq, a predicted model, not a curated record